This 322-nucleotide long non-coding RNA is filed under the name Mytilus galloprovincialis (Mediterranean mussel). Lineage: Eukaryota; Metazoa; Mollusca; Bivalvia; Mytilida; Mytilidae. The record is from RNAcentral.
UUGGGGGGGGGGCUAGGAUGAAAAUUUUUGUCCUGCAUUUUUUUUUUUAGCUGUAAUCUCUGUCCUGCAUUUUUAUUUUUCACUCUGUUCGGUCCUGCUUUUUUUUUUUAGUUUAUCCUGACUUUUUUUUACCUAAAUUGUCGUCCUGAUUUUUUUUUUGCAAGUGUCUCAUCCUGCCUUUUUUUUUUACUCAAAACUCCUGUCCUGCCUAUUUUUUUCAAAUUUCAUCCUAGCCCCCCCCCCCAUAAAAAUCAAAUGGUAGCUCCUUUAAUGGUAUUGGCAAAUUAUUCCACAAGAAUGGUCCAGAAUACAUAAAAGAUUU